Molecule: long non-coding RNA, 826 nt
Filed under: Homo sapiens (human)
Lineage: Eukaryota; Metazoa; Chordata; Mammalia; Primates; Hominidae
Description: novel transcript
Source: RNAcentral
GGAGCCCAAAGUUUCCAGUUGGCACUCUUAACUUCCAGUUCAAUGGAAUGGUUGUUGUGUCUCACAGUUGUAAUAUUCUCUCUGAAACUGAGACUUCUAGACCAGCAGAUUAUAAAAUCACUGAAACAGAAAGCAAGAACUUUACUAGUGGGUAACUAGGGGUAAUACUGACUGGUGUCACUCUCAUUUUCACUCUUAAUUCCUAGACCCUUGAAUCCUGACUAUUGGAGAAACAGCACCAUAUUUUGGAUACUGAUUCAGACCAUAUACAGCCUUCUGGAGAAUCUUGCCCCAGUCCUGAAAGGUUUUGGUAUCAGGAUGAUGCUGGCAUCAUAAAAUGAGUAUUUUUCUUCAGACUUCAGACUGCUGUGCUGGAAGCAAGAAUUUCAAGCAUUGGAUCUUAGCUUGCUGGGCUCCAUAGGGGUGGGAUCCACUGAGCUAGACCACUUGGCUCCCUGGCUUCAGCCCCCUUCCAGAUGUCCUUGGCGUGUACACCCUGUGGAAUCUGGUUCAUCUUCAAUCUGUCAGAAGGCAUCAGAGGUGGUUUUGACUCCUUAUGUCUUGGACCUGUGCACAAAAAGUGUAAAAUGGAUGGAACAUCAGACAGCUCAUUAUAGAGACAAGUAAGCUCCAGUUCCAAAGUUGGUUGACAGAACAAGUCAUGACCUUGUGUGGAGGAAAAUGAGAUCCCGAGUGAAGUCUACAAUGUCAUUGACUCUGAAGAAGGACUCAGAGACCCAUUGGUGUUUAAUGACCCUUACUGGCCUAUGCAAUGGAAACUGGUAUGAUCUUCAGAAAUAGAUGGUUCUUUGGCAGUGUUAAGAAA